This 467-nucleotide ribosomal RNA is filed under the name uncultured bacterium. RNAcentral's name for it is "partial 16S ribosomal RNA". It matches the Rfam family "Bacterial small subunit ribosomal RNA", at positions 28 to 507 of the family's 1533-position model. The record is from RNAcentral.
GAUGAACGCUGGCGGCGUGCUUAACACAUGCAAGUCGAACGAUGAAGCCCAGCUUGCUGGGUGGGUUAGUGGCGAACGGGUGAGUAACACGUGAGCAACCUGCCCCUGACUCUGGGAUAAGCGCUGGAAACGGCGUCUAAUACUGGAUAUGUCCCGUCACCGCAUGGUGUGCGGGUGGAAAGAUUUUUCGGUUGGGGAUGGGCUCGCGGCCUAUCAGCUUGUUGGUGAGGUAAUGGCUCACCAAGGCGUCGACGGGUAGCCGGCCUGAGAGGGUGACCGGCCACACUGGGACUGAGACACGGCCCAGACUCCUACGGGAGGCAGCAGUGGGGAAUAUUGCACAAUGGGCGGAAGCCUGAUGCAGCAACGCCGCGUGAGGGAUGACGGCCUUCGGGUUGUAAACCUCUUUUAGCAGGGAAGAAGCGAAAGUGACGGUACCUGCAGAAAAAGCACCGGCUAACUACGUG